AGAGUGCUUGCCUCAUAUACAUGAGGCCCUGGGUUGGAGUCCUCAGCACAACAUUAAGAGAAAAGGCUGGAAGUGGCACUGUGGCUCAAGUGGUAGAGUGCUAGCCUUGAGCAAAAAGAAGACAGAGACAGUGCUCAGGCCCUGAUUUCAAACCCCAGGAAUGG
Long non-coding RNA from Perognathus longimembris pacificus (Pacific pocket mouse), 164 nucleotides. RefSeq lists it as uncharacterized. The record is from RefSeq and is a predicted model, not a curated record. NCBI's taxonomy places the organism in Eukaryota, Metazoa, Chordata, Mammalia, Rodentia, Heteromyidae. The transcript is spliced from 2 exons.